RNAcentral lists this microRNA precursor (125 nucleotides) under Manihot esculenta (cassava). Its description in RNAcentral is "miR482e stem-loop (mes-MIR482e)". Its record names the gene mes-MIR482e. The record is from miRBase by way of RNAcentral. Lineage: Eukaryota; Viridiplantae; Streptophyta; Magnoliopsida; Malpighiales; Euphorbiaceae.
AGUUAGGAUUUUCAGAAGGUUGCGGGAUGGGUGGGUGGGUGAGAUGACCAAUUAAUGGAUCUCAAUUGAUUGUGUUCAUCUUACCUACACCGCCCAUGCCUUGGGUUUCCGAUUAUUCCUCCCUC